This 253-nucleotide ribosomal RNA is filed under the name uncultured bacterium. Its description in RNAcentral is "partial 16S ribosomal RNA". It matches the Rfam family "Bacterial small subunit ribosomal RNA", at positions 524 to 776 of the family's 1533-position model. The record is from RNAcentral.
UACGGAGGGUGCAAGCGUUAUCCGGAUUUACUGGGUUUAAAGGGUGCGUCGGUGGGUAGGUAAGUCAGUGGUGAAAUCUUCGAGCUUAACUCGGAAACUGCCAUUGAUACUAUUUAUCUUGAAUACUUUGGAGGUAAGCGGAAUAUGUCAUGUAGCGGUGAAAUGCUUAGAUAUGACAUAGAACACCAAUUGCGAAGGCAGCUUACUACACAAAUAUUGACGCUGAGGCACGAAAGCGUGGGGAUCAAACAGG